UUACAUCAUCAACAUAUCUGGUAUCUUUCAAGUACACCACAACGAGAGCCAGCAUCGUAUGCGCAGCCACAACCAACAGUCCUUGGUGCGCCCUGGAAAAUCCAGUAAUAACACAACAAGACUGAAGAAACAUUAGUGAAAGAGUAAAAAACUUGUAAGGAGUCCUGUUUAUAAAGAUAUGCGUACUCUGUAGUCCAGAAACCAGCGCCGGCAGAAGAAGACCUAACCACACCCACACUAACAUGACUCGGCAGUUCCUUGGCUCCAGGUCUCACAACACCACUUUACCCUUCGACAACUUUAGUCUUUAUGUCAUGUUCUUUAUGUCUGGAAAUUCAGAACUCACAAAAAUAUGUACAACAAAAAUUUUAACAUGUAACGCUGUUUAAGGUACAUGUUUCGACUAUUUUGUUUACCAAAGCCGUGUAGUUAUUUAUUUUGACAGAUUUUAUUUUGAAUAAGUCACUACUAGAUUUCUCAUUACAGAUUUAUUUUAAUGGAUAACGAAAUAACUGGUCAAGGUUCGAUGUUUGGGUUCCGUAGGUAUCAUUAUAGAUAUUUAUGUUAACAUUUAUACAUAUGGUGAGAGUGAUUUGAAAUCGGAGCUACCUAUGCAGAAACAAUUUUAAUUGGUAUCUAGACGAAACCUUAUACUGAAGAAAAAGUAUUUUUGGAGAUAUUUUUUAAAAUUUGCUUUUGUUUUAAAACAUUAUGUUCCGAACAAAAGCAUUUUUGUAUGAUUCUGUGAAGUUGUGACUAUUAUGUCAACCCCUGCAUGUUUUUAUACAUAAUUAUAUAAGAUUAUAUUAUUACAGCCUGUAUUGUCUUUAAAUGCAUGUAAUAAUUAAACACAUAAGUACUACACUAAUACUCUAACAUGAAUAAUGAACAAGAUGUUAAUGUCGACAUUGUGAAGAGGUUGGUUGAAGAGUCGAAGUGUCAGAGAUCAGUUCUGAGACAUUUUCCAUGCAGGCAAUUUUAAUACUAUUCUGGCUCUUACAUGACAUUCUUGUGAGUAUUGUAAAUUAUUGUAAAUUUCAACAUUUUAGGACAAUUAGUUCAAACAAAUUGAUGAAAAUAUAUACAGAAGCAUGGACGUCAAACAUUUCACAGACGAGAAAUCUAUCUGUCUUAAUUUGUUUCAUUUUUUUCCACUAAUAGACGAGUACCUUCCUUUGUGCGUUAAAUUGUUAAGAAAUCCCUUUCUGGGAUAAAUCCGCCUUAGUACGCGUUUCUUUCUUUAUUUUACUGCUUUCUCUGUAGGUAUGUGUUUUAUUCGUGCAAUAAAGUGUUUGGGAACAAAUUAUACGUUCUUAAAAAUAUUUAUUAAUAUAAGAAAUUUGUUUAUCACUUAAAUAAGAGAGAUAUAUAUAUACGUUUUGAGUCCAGCUCAUAUUUUAUUAAAAUAUAAAAUAAAAAUACAAUAAUUUCAUUUAAAUAAAUGAAAUGUAAGUUUCAUCAGAAGUUGUAUUCAUUAGUCAAUAUUUCGGGUUUUAUGAUUUCUUGCAGGUAGUCCAUCGGAUGGCAAAUCUUCUCUGGCAGUUACAUCUGCUACUGGAGGCUUUUCUUUCUUUACCCCUGAAAUUGUAAUAGUUUUGAUCACAUUUUAAAGGUAUGCAACUAAAGUGUUACAAUGUACCUACUUUGCAGCUAUUAUGUCAGCAAUUUAUGAUUUUUUGAAAACACAAACUGAAACAUUGAGCUGUAUAAAGUGGACUACGUGUGUAUAUCAACCCCGUAAGGGAUAAAUAUAUAGUACAUUUGUAUCUGUAUAUUUUUUCAAAAAAAUAAGUUGUAAUAAUAGAAAUACAAAAUAGUCAAACAAUUGUUAAAUAAUUCAGAACCCACCUCCACCCAGCAUCAUUUUGACCAGCACGGAGCAGGGAGCGUCGACCAAUAGACAGGCGAAGAAGGACACGAUGAAAGUCAAUGUCGCAUAUGCCAAAAAUUUGAACGU
Molecule: long non-coding RNA, 1957 nt
Organism: Plodia interpunctella (Indianmeal moth)
Lineage: Eukaryota; Metazoa; Arthropoda; Insecta; Lepidoptera; Pyralidae
Exons: 2
Source: RefSeq, a predicted model, not a curated record